UUAAAAAUCCCUCAAAACCACGUAAGUUACCACUCUCCUUUGCCUCCAAGGUUUUGCCCGUCUUCCACACUUUCUUUGCCUCCAAAAAUUUUAUCCCUAAAAUUAUUCAUUCCCUCCCUUAGUUGUAUAUGCUUAAUUGGCCCAAACCUAAUUGAAACUCUUCAAUUGAUGUGAAUUUCGGUUUCACUUGCAGUUCGAUUUUUGAGAAUUUCGGCUUCUGCUAUAGAUCGAUUUCUAUAAAUUUUGGCUUUAUCUACAAAUCAAUUUCUUUGAUAUUGUCUUCCAGGGAAUGCAAUUCUCUAUGAAUGUGUUUCAACAAUCAUGACCAUUGAAGAGAAUGGUGGUUUAAGAGUGCUAGCUGUCAACAUUUUGGGAAGAUUUUUAUCCAGCCGUGAUAACAAUAUCAGUUCACCUUCAUUCAUUUGGCUUGAACACUUUUCUCAGUUCAAGGACAUAAUUUGUUGUGGCUAUGCCAUUUGGAUUCUGGUCCAUUGAAGUUGUCUUUCUUGCACAUGCUUAAUGGCCUAAUCAAUCUUGAUUAAGGAUUAAGUACAUCAAAAGCCUAUCUCAAAUAUGCUCCCACCCAUAUCCUGGCCAAGUACUUUUUUAUAGAAUUUAAUUAAAAAGAAAUUUGACGACCACCUUGCAAAUCUUAUUUUUCUCUUAUGUUGCACAUCUAAUUGUUUUGGAUUGUAUUGUGUUUGCCUAGAUAUUGACACUUUAUAAUGCUUAAAGCUGCUAAAUCUGUUUACAUAAUGUAUUGUCUGAACGCUCUUUGAUUGGUGAUGCCAUGAAUGCUAUUAUUUUGAAGGAAAGAGCUCUUGACAUUGGUGCAUUAGAUGCAUAUGUGUUCUGAUAGAUUCUAGGUACCAUCAGAUGGUAUACCUAGACCAUUCACUUAUAAUUCUAAUAAAAGAAACUGAUAGUACUGAUAAGAUCUUAUGAUAUAUGCCUGAGGCCACCCCUUCAUGAUAAUUAGACUGCAAUUGCUUACUCACUGAGAAGGGUCCUUGAUUAGUUUGUUCUAAGAGUGACCAUGAUUUUCCAAGUUCUUAGCGUAUGAACAUAGCAUUUUAUUGACCCCAUGAACCAGAUAUAUACAUAUUUUUCACUCAUCAAUUUGCUUUCUUGACAUUUUUAGAACCUGAAAAUGAUGGUAGAACUUCUUAAAUAUUUGUUCUGGUCUAUUUCUAUGAUUAAUCCUUCCAAUUCCUUUCUUGCUGUGUACUAUAAUUUUUGCUGUCUUGUUACAUUUAAAUCAUAACAUGGACUGUUUGGCUUGAGUAUAGAAUGCUAAGGUUUGUCUUCAAUAUGGUGGACUUAGUAUUCUGUGCGUAGACAGCAGAUAAUAAUAGUACUUUUGUCCAAAACCAUUUAACACGAGCAAAAUCAAACUUAGCUAUGUGGUUCAAUUCAUCUCAAAAUCAGGAUUCUUUUACUCGUAAGGCCAAUUUGAAUUUGAAAUUAACAAGUAUGGAAAUGUACUCCCAAGCUAGAAAUGAGUUAAAAUACAUGUGCAUUGAAACUGUUAAACAUAGCAACUUCAAACCUAGCUCAAGAAAUAUUUCGAAAAACAUCUCUCACACAUCAAACUUUAAUAUGUUUGGGCUUAUUGUUGGAAACAUUGGGGCAUUCCCAGAUAAGCCGUUGUAGGCACUUGUCACAAUUAUAAAGAACUACUCGUAUGAAUAUGAAUUCCUUAUAUAUGUUCAUUAUUUUAUCUCUUUAUCAAUUAAUUUUGUUUCAACUAUUUUCUAAAGAGCAAGUAUUUAAAAAGAAAAAUUGGAAAACUCAUGUAAUAGGCACAAUAGAAAGUGAAAAUGUUCAUAGAGUUGAAGAAAAUAAUGAGGCAUUGGAAAAAGAAGUACAAUCAUCGUACUGGUUCACGUCCUUUUGAUUGCAUGGUCAAAAUGUGUUUGAGAGAUGAUUAUAUUUCUUAGCUUGUGUUAUAUCUCUUGUGUACAGUUGUGUUAUCUCUUGCAAACUUUGAUUUUACAGACUGUUUUAUAUAUCUUGUUGGUUAUGUUUGUAGGAUGAGAUACUUGUCAAAAAGUAUGAAUAUCUUAUAGAAUGGGCAAAGGAAUAGCAACUUCCUGAAGAUACCCCUUUGGAGGAGAUAUCGAUAGAUGAUCCCGAUGUCGGAAUUAAUAUCAUGAUGUCUGUUCUAGGUACGAAGCUCGGGCAUCGAAUUCUUGGGUUAGGAGAUGGUCGCCUUCGAGACAUUGGGAUAUCUUCUUCCAAUGUACACAAUUUGGAAGAGUUGGAAGCAGAACGUGCUACUCGAAAGGUAGCCAAUGUAGCUCGAGUAAAUAUGGCCCAAAAUAUGCAAAACAAGCUAAAGGUUGUUGAGCAACAAUUCAAUUCUACAUUACAAUCUUGGCAUUAUUCUAUGCAUCAACUAUGUGAUAAAGUUCCUAGCUUCAUUGUACCACCAUUUAUAUCAUUGUCAAUAGAGAAUAAUGGUAAUGAGAAAGAUAAUGCUAUUGAGAAUGAAGAGAAUAACUUUGGUGAGAAUCAGUGCAUGUCUAAUUCACGAGAAUGAAGAGUCAUGUUUUUUAUUUGCAUAACAAUAGAUAUAUAGCAUGUUUGUUCUGCUUAUUUUAACUUUAGAUGUAAUCAUACUUGGUGAAUGUCAUUUAUUCAUGUUUUGAUGAAAUAUUUUGGAUUCAA
This is a long non-coding RNA of Olea europaea var. sylvestris, 2670 nucleotides long. RefSeq lists it as uncharacterized. NCBI's taxonomy places the organism in Eukaryota, Viridiplantae, Streptophyta, Magnoliopsida, Lamiales, Oleaceae. The record is from RefSeq and is a predicted model, not a curated record. The transcript has 2 exons.